GUAGGGAAUAUUGCUUAAUCUGCGAAAGCGGGAAGCAGCAACGCCGCGUGUGCGAUGAAGGCCUUCGGGUUGUAAAGCACUUUUUGGUGGGAUGAGGAAGGACAGUACCACCAGAAUAAGCCUCGGCUAACUACGUGCCAGCAGCCGCGGUAACACGUAGGAGGCGAGCGUUAUUCGGAUUUACUGGGUGUAAAGCGCGUGCAGGCGGUUCGGUAAGUUGGAUGUGAAAGCUCCUGGCUUAACUGGGAGAGGUCGUUCAAUACUGUCGGACUUGAGAGCAGUAGAGGGAGAUGGAAUUCCGGGUGUAGUGGUGAAAUGCGUAGAUAUCCGGAGGAACACCAGUGGCGAAAGCGGUCUCCUGGACUGUUUCUGACGCUCAGACGCGAAAGCUAGGGUAGCAAACGGGAUUAGAUACCCUGGUAGUCC
Molecule: ribosomal RNA, 426 nt
Filed under: uncultured bacterium
Lineage: Bacteria
Description: bacterial SSU rRNA
Rfam family: Bacterial small subunit ribosomal RNA
Source: RNAcentral